GCUCGGGGAGGGCCGUGGGGAGCCGCCGGUUCGGGGCGGCGGGGGCCGGGGGGUGGGUGGGUGCGAGGGGCCGGCGGGGGCUCUCAUACACCGUCCGGGCCUUCACCCGCUGCGUGGUUGCGGGUAACAACGAGGCUAGGUCUGGUGUUUCGUGCAAACUUCAUCACCCCUGCGCCUGGGGUGCUCCAGCUUCCAGAUUUUUCUCUGCUCACCAGUCCUGUUUUUUUAUUCGUUUUUCAGCGCCGGCUGACAUUGCGGCCCGUACGCGUGUUUCCGGGCCCAGGGCUGUCGGCGCCGCGGAGGGGGCUGCUGGGCAGUAAGGAGCUUGCGGAAAUCCUUGGGCUCUUAGCUGCCAUCGCAGCUGUCGCGUUGGAAGGGUUUGCGUUUGAGGUGGGCAGGAGCUGCUAUUUCUGGCGUCGGGGAACUCACGGAGCAGCGAUGGGGAUGUCGUUAGCUCUGGUGAUUGGCAGGAGCUGACGAGCUCUUGUUUGAAGCUGUGGGUGAAGACAAAAGGGGUGUUUCCAAGCUGCUGGGAAGGCAGUGCAGCAUGGGGGGAUCCGAGCUGGGCCCCAUCUGGAUAAUCGGUGCAAAACCAGGGAACUUAGUGCCCAGGAGAGGAGCAAGUGCUGAAUGCUGGAGGUCAGCCUGCCCUGACCGACACUGCGCAGUGCUUCGCUCUAAUCUAACCUCUGUGGUUUUGCACCGCAGGCCUUUAGGAAGAGAAGAUCCUGGGGUUCUUCUGCUUUACUUCCCCCGUCCAAGCUCAGCUGAAAACUAAAUGCUUUAAGAGAGAAGCUAAAAUUGUCAGAGACAAGUCAUGCCAUCUGGUGACCUUAAUUUCCAUCAGUGAGCAGGGCACCGUGAGGCUGGGAAAGGAGCUCAAAGGUGACACAGUCAAAGUCAGGCCCACGUAAAAGGACACUUCUGGGUUUGAUCCAUUCCCACACUGCACAGGCUGAUGCAGGUGUCCAAAGAGCAUUUGUAAAAAGCGAAAUGAUCUCUGCUUGGACCGCAUCGAAUACGGAGCUUUCCCUGGGAAGGCAGGGCUUGGGAUGGCAAGGCCUUACUUCAAUGACCCAAAGAGAGCCAAGGUUUUCGAUUUGAAGAAUGAACUGCCCCAAAGCAAACUCAUCCCAGUUGGUGACGUCAGUCACUGGCGAGCAAGAGGAAUAGUAAGCUGUCCCUAAAACAUGAUGCAAAGGCUGAUGUGUCCAAGGAACCUUUCACUCGUUGACUGAGUGAGGGCACAAGCCAGGAAGGUAGGAGCAAGUUUGGACUUUGGGGGACCUCCCUGGAGGGCCUUGCUCCUGUAAGAUGAGGGAAGAGAGCUGAAUCAGUAAAUGGGUAUUCUUCCCUGGGAGAAUUCAAGCUCUAUAUAGCCUUUGAGUUCAUGGUUCAAGAGGUCCAUCCCUGUUUCUAAUCAUGUGUGCUUUUCUGAAGGGGUAUUUAAACCGGUAUUAAAUUAAAAUGCCAGAUUAGAGCUGGUGGAAAUGCACUUGGGUAAAUGUCCUCUUUCCAAUUCAGCAUAAAACUGAAUUCUUGACAAGCUGUGUCCCUUAUCACUCCCAGUGGUGUGAUCUGAAUAGGGACACAGUUUUUUCCAGUUUCUGAAAUUAGGCAUCAUUUCCUGCUAUAGAGUGGUUUUUUUCAUCCAUUUGAAUUUGAUACAACACUGUUCUCUUUCUGUCCUGAAUCACUGGUGUGUGCUAUUAAACAGGUGUUGCUUUCUAUUAGACCAGUUUCUGUGUUAAGCAGAGUGGUCGUUUAAUACUCUCUUCUUACCUCUGAAUGGAGUAGGGCAGUUUUACGUGGUAUUUUCAAAGCACAUUGAAAAAUUCAGAUAGAAGGUAGGAUAAAGGGACAGAAGGCACUUAUUUUCUCCUCCUUUAAUCACUGAAAUUCUCACUUAAGAAAAAUCAAGGGACUGUGAAUCACACAGUCAUUGGGAACAUAUUUAUAUGGCCACUAAUAUUUUUGGAUGCAGAAAAAAUGCCCUCAGCACUUUGCUGAAAAAACUGCUGAUAUAUUGCAGCUGUUCCUUUGUUAAACCAAAUACUGUUACUUGCAUCAGUCAUUUUUUGAUGUGUGGCUUUCAAGAAAGACCAAAACAAAAAUAGCAUUUGAAUUGCAAGCUUAGAAAUUGUGUGGUUUUAUACAGACUUCAGAGCUGACAAAGGAACUUUUUUUUUUCAUGUGGCAAAUAUUUGUAGUCCAAAUGCAUAAAAUGUAUGUUAUGUAAAUAAUGUAGCGAUAUAGUUUGCUAUAUUCUCUGUGCUUUCUACAAAGGAGCCUGAAGCAUUUUCUUGACCUAAAUCAUACACGAAAAUCAAAGACAUAACUCUCCUGCUGUUCCCAAAAGUACAAGGAGCUGCAAAGAAAGCCUCAGCUUUGAGAAUACUGGUGUUCCUUUUUAUUGAAGAAGAGAAUAAAGCAUUUUUAAAUAUA
Molecule: long non-coding RNA, 2445 nt
Organism: Dromaius novaehollandiae (emu)
Lineage: Eukaryota; Metazoa; Chordata; Aves; Casuariiformes; Dromaiidae
Exons: 2
Source: RefSeq, a predicted model, not a curated record